This 723-nucleotide ribosomal RNA is filed under the name Bacillus subtilis. RNAcentral's name for it is "bacterial SSU rRNA". It matches the Rfam family "Bacterial small subunit ribosomal RNA", at positions 752 to 1475 of the family's 1533-position model. Lineage: Bacteria; Bacillati; Bacillota; Bacilli; Caryophanales; Bacillaceae. The record is from RNAcentral.
AGCGAAAGCGUGGGGAGCGGAACAGGGAUUAGAUACCCUGGUUAUCCACGCCGUAAACGAUGAGUGCUAAGUGUUUAGGGGGUUUCCGCCCCCUUAUGCUGCAGCUAACGCAUUAAGCACUCCGCCUGGGGAGUACGGUCGCAAGACUGAAACUCAAAGGAAUUGACGGGGGCCCGCACAAGCGGUGGAGCAUGUGGUUUAAUUUGAAGCAACGCGAAGAACCUUACCAGGUCUUGACAUCCUCUGACAAUCCUAGAGAUAGGACGUCCCCUUCGGGGGCAGAGUGACAGGUGGUGCAUGGUUGUUGUCAGCUCGUGUCGUGGGAUGUUGGGUUAAGUCCCGCAACGAGCGCAACCCUUGAUUUUAGUUGCCAGCAUUCAGUUGGGCACUUUAAGGUGACUGCCGGUGACAAACCGGAGGAAGGUGGGGAUGACGUCAAAUCAUCAUGCCCCUUAUGACCUGGGCUACACACGUGCUACAAUGGACAGAACAAAGGGCAGCGAAACCGCGAGGUUAAGCCAAUCCCACAAAUCUGUUCUCAGUUCGGAUCGCAGUCUGCAACUCGACUGCGUGAAGCUGGAAUCGCUAGUAAUCGCGGAUCAGCAUGCCGCGGGAGUCAUUCCCGGGCCUUGUACACACCGCCCGGCGACCCCUCAAUUUGUAACACCCGAAGUCGGUGAGGUAACCUUUAGGAGCCAGCCGCUCUAAGGUGGAACCCCCCGC